Sarcophilus harrisii (Tasmanian devil) is the source of this 763-nucleotide long non-coding RNA. RefSeq lists it as uncharacterized. The transcript is spliced from 2 exons. The record is from RefSeq and is a predicted model, not a curated record. Lineage: Eukaryota; Metazoa; Chordata; Mammalia; Dasyuromorphia; Dasyuridae.
GAGUUUUAGGAUUUAUUUGUUGACAUCUUUUCCCCCCAGGAAAUUGGACGGUGAAUGGGGAGAAGAAAUAGAAUACUUCCCAAGGGUGAGAAUCAAUCAACCAACAUUUAGCAAUACUUGUUCAGGAUACAAAAACUUCAUUGGAAACGGGAGGACAACAAAUACAUAGAUUCAACCCACCAGAAAAUACAGAAUUGAUAGACAGGCACAUGAGAAGGCAUAAUCCUAAUAGAGCAGUUGGAGUCCGUUAGGAAAGAGGUGUACAGGGUCAUGAGGUUGAUAGCAAGGACAUCCAAGUAGGAGGACACAGAGCAAAAAGAUGACUGGUGACAGAGGCAUAAGGGGGUCACCCCCGGGGUCCAUGACACGAAUAAAGAUCCAGUCAAAGAGGCAAGCAGGACACAUCAGUCAGUAAAGAAGCCAGAGAGAGCAGAAUUGUGAAAAAUCUGAAAAGAGAGUAUCCUGAAAGAGAAGAAAAGGCAGUCACUCCCAAAAAUGCUGCCAGAGAGAUGCAGAAGGAUCAGAAUCAGACAGUGGUCCUUCUGUUUUUGUACUAUAGAGGUUAUCAAUCACUUUUCAUUUCAAUGAGUAAAACUCCUCUGAAUGAGGAAGAGAGAAGCCAGAGUGCAGAGAGCUUAAGAGAAUGAAUAUCCAAAAGCAUUCAUUUUCCACUGUGGGUCAAAGGCUGGACUAAGCCUGGGGGUGGGAUGGAUAGGCCCAAGCCAGGCCCUGGCCUGGGGGGGAACCUCCCAGUCUGCAUGCA